Molecule: small RNA, 160 nt
Filed under: Escherichia coli
Lineage: Bacteria; Pseudomonadati; Pseudomonadota; Gammaproteobacteria; Enterobacterales; Enterobacteriaceae
Description: RtT sRNA
Rfam family: RtT RNA
About the family: This family represents a bacterial cis-regulatory element known as RtT RNA. The exact function of RtT is unknown although it is thought that it may be involved in changing the cellular response in relation to amino acid starvation.
Source: RNAcentral
AUUCUGCCCAUGCGGGGAAGGACGAGAAGCUUCGACCAAGGUUCGACUCGAGCGUCAGCGAGAGAGCGUCAGCGAGAGAGCGUCAGCGAGAGAGCGUUGCCGCAGGCAACGACCCGAAGGGCGAAGCGCGCAGCGCUGAGUAAUCCUUCCCCCACCACCA